GAGCUCGUAGGCGGUUUGUCGCGUCUGCUGUGAAAUCCCGAGGCUCAACCUCGGGUCUGCAGUGGGUACGGGCAGACUAGAGUGCGGUAGGGGAGAUUGGAAUUCCUGGUGUAGCGGUGGAAUGCGCAGAUAUCAGGAGGAACACCGAUGGCGAAGGCGGAUCUCUGGGCCGUAACUGACGCUGAGGAGCGAAAGGGUGGGGAGCAAACAGGCUUAGAUACCCUGGUAGUCCACCCCGUAAACGUUGGGAACUAGUUGUGGGGACCAUUCCACGGUUUCCGUGACGCAGCUAACGCAUUAAGUUCCCCGCCUGGGGAGUACGGCCGCAAGGCUAAAACUCAAAGGAAUUGACGGGGACCCCCACAAGCGGCGGAGCAUGGGGAUUAAUUCGAUGCAACGCGAAAAACCUUACCAAGGCUUGACAUAUACGAAAACGGGCCAGAAAUGGUCAACUCUUUGGACACUCGUAAACAGGUGGUGCAUGGUUGUCGUCAGCUCGUGUCGUGAGAUGUUGGGUUAAGUCCCGCAACGAGCGCAACCCUCGUUCUAUGUUGCCAGCACGUAAUGGUGGGAACUCAUGGGAUACUGCCGGGGUCAACUCGGAGGAAGGUGGGGAUGACGUCAAAUCAUCAUGCCCCUUAUGUCUUGGGCUUCACGCAUGCUACAAUGGCCGGUACAAAGGGCUGCAAUACCGUGAGGUGGAGCGAAUCCCAAAAAGCCGGUCCCAGUUCGGAUUGAGGGCUGCAACUCGACCUCAUGAA
Molecule: ribosomal RNA, 761 nt
Filed under: Microbacterium testaceum
Lineage: Bacteria; Bacillati; Actinomycetota; Actinomycetes; Micrococcales; Microbacteriaceae
Description: bacterial SSU rRNA
Rfam family: Bacterial small subunit ribosomal RNA
Source: RNAcentral